AAGACUAUACCUUCAGGGAUCGUCUCUAUAGUGCCUUACUAGAGAUGUUCCUCUGAUCGUACAGAAAGGCCCAGAAUUCAUUCCUGAGCGUGAAGCAGGCACUAGGUGUUGCUUCUGAAACUGCCUCUUGCUGUUGGUGAUCACUCUUUUUUUCAUUUGGGGGAGAAGAGAGAGAGGAUGCAAUCUGA
RNAcentral lists this small nucleolar RNA (188 nucleotides) under Erinaceus europaeus (western European hedgehog). RNAcentral describes it as "Small nucleolar RNA U3 (ENSEEUG00000019515.1)". It matches the Rfam family "Small nucleolar RNA U3". Rfam says of the family: Small nucleolar RNAs (snoRNAs) are involved in the processing and modification of rRNA in the nucleolus. There are two main classes of snoRNAs: the box C/D class, and the box H/ACA class. Lineage: Eukaryota; Metazoa; Chordata; Mammalia; Eulipotyphla; Erinaceidae. The record is from Rfam by way of RNAcentral.